GCUCAGAGUGAACGCUGGCGGUAGGCCUAACACAUGCAAGUCGAACGGCAGCACAGUAAGAGCUUGCUCUUAUGGGUGGCGAGUGGCGGACGGGUGAGGAAUACAUCGGAAUCUACCUUUUCGUGGGGGAUAACGUAGGGAAACUUACGCUAAUACCGCAUACGACCUUCGGGUGAAAGCAGGGGACCUUCGGGCCUUGCGCGGAUAGAUGAGCCGAUGUCGGAUUAGCUAGUUGGCGGGGUAAAGGCCCACCAAGGCGACGAUCCGUAGCUGGUCUGAGAGGAUGAUCAGCCACACUGGAACUGAGACACGGUCCAGACUCCUACGGGAGGCAGCAGUGGGGAAUAUUGGACAAUGGGCGCAAGCCUGAUCCAGCCAUACCGCGUGGGUGAAGAAGGCCUUCGGGUUGUAAAGCCCUUUUGUUGGGAAAGAAAAGCAGUCGAUUAAUACUCGGU
Molecule: ribosomal RNA, 455 nt
Filed under: Stenotrophomonas rhizophila
Lineage: Bacteria; Pseudomonadati; Pseudomonadota; Gammaproteobacteria; Lysobacterales; Lysobacteraceae
Description: bacterial SSU rRNA
Rfam family: Bacterial small subunit ribosomal RNA
Source: RNAcentral